This 408-nucleotide ribosomal RNA is filed under the name Triticum aestivum (bread wheat). RNAcentral describes it as "partial small subunit ribosomal RNA". The record is from RNAcentral. Lineage: Eukaryota; Viridiplantae; Streptophyta; Magnoliopsida; Poales; Poaceae.
AUGGCCGGCAGGCAGAGACGCCGCCGGGAAGCCGCAGCCUCGCGCGACGCACAGACCUCCGCCGUCAGAUGUGGCCGGAGUCACAUCGAAGGAUGGGGAGGGGAGCACCGCGGUCGCUGGGCUCCAACCACACCGCAAGGCACGACCACGUCGACGCCGCCGCAGAAGCCGCGCGCCGCACCGCCAGCUCGAGCCACCACCACGGAAGCCGCCGUCGCAGAGGCUCCAGAUCCGCCACCGCCUCCUACCGCCGACGGACGAGAGGAAGAGGAAGGGGAAGACCCCGCCGCCGCCGUCCGCCGCCCGGGCUUAGCCCGGCAGCCUCCUCCGGCGACGGCGAGGGGAGGGAGGGGGCGAGGGGGCGGCCCGGCGGCGCGGACGAGGGCUCCGCCCGAGUCGCCGUGUUAG